This 618-nucleotide unclassified non-coding RNA is filed under the name Hevea brasiliensis (rubber tree). The record is from RNAcentral. Lineage: Eukaryota; Viridiplantae; Streptophyta; Magnoliopsida; Malpighiales; Euphorbiaceae.
UUAUUAUUAUUAUUUUGGUUUCUUUAUGUUGUUCAUUCCUCAAAUAUAAACAUUAUUUAACCUAAUAUUUUUUUUCCAGUCCCUAAGUAUGCAGAAAUACCAAAAUUCCUUUGGUUGAAAGUGAGAAGUGCUAAAAUUAAUUUUUUUUUGUCAUUUUGUAUUUUGGCCUUGCACCAAAAACUGCAGCUUAAGAAGAAUGCAUGGAAAAAUUUUUGUGAAUGGAAGCUUUAAUGAGGAUCUUUGGCUAAUGAUUACCUAAGUCUAUAUAAAUUUAGAAAAGAAAAAAAUGCAAGGCAUAUGAGUGAUAGUAUUCCGAGUUCUGACCUUCUAAAACAUGUGCAUCUUAAUGUGAUGGUCUGUUAUCUGAUUUUCAAUUUUGUGCUUUUUUAGUUCAUAAAUUUUUUUAAGUUGAAUUAAACCUCUGUUCAUUGAUUAACAGUAAGUUUCCAUUUGGUCACAAAUCUUUAUUUUGUAUCAAUUUGGUCAACAAACAUUAAUUCUGUCUCAGUUGAACCAGUGUCUCUAGAAUCUGGUGAGAGGCUUGCCGGAAAAGCUGAUGUGGCUACCAAUUUAUCACCUUCCUUUUUUAGCUCUCCAGGGACGCCCCAGAAAGGCUAA